CCAGCAACCCAGAAAACAGACAAUAGGAAGUAGCUCAGACAGCAGCAACUCAUUAACUUGUUUCUCAUAAAAGCUAAAAGCAACCCAAAAAUUCUGAACUUAUAAAGAUGAUAUACCACAUAAUCCAGUUAAUCCCAUCCUGUAGCAGCAGGAAGCUCACCCUCCAAGGGAGCAGCCGGAUCCCAUCCUCCAACAGCAACAGGAGUAACACCAACAGCUGGAGCUGCAGCAGCAUCCCAACCACCUUCAGCCGCAACUUGGGGAGCACCCCAAUCAGCUCCAGCAGCCUGAGGAACGGCUUGGGGUGGAUAAUCAACACCAGACCAAUUGUCCACUACAGGCCCAGGAACAUAAUCAACAUUUGGAUUAUAAUCAACCACAGGAGCUUCCCCCUCUUCCUGCUCCUUUGCCUCUUCAGGAUCCCUAUAGAAGAACAAGUCAACCAUAAUGUCCCAUUUGUGACCAAGUGGAAUAGCACCACGCAUUUGCAGGACCAUCCUUGCCAACAACCAAAAGAGGCAACCAAUACUCAGCUUACCCUUGUUAUUAGCAGGGAUGCCAAUGUCGACAAACCGCAUCGGUGAAUCGGUGUCACAGAAUGCAAUGGUUGGAAUGUUUCCAAGAGCACCUUCCUUAAUAGGCUGGUGGUCAGUUCUGGGAUCGGUAAGGAUGAGAAGACGAGGCUCACUAAAAGAAGUCUGCAGCUGGUUGGUGAAGGUACCAGGCGUGUGGCGUCCUGCAAUGGGAUGAGCACCAGUAUAUUGUGCAAACUUGAGGACAGCCCUCUGACCGUAAGGUCUGGCAGAUUGGACAAUGAUAUCUUGUGGAUUCUCAAUGGCAACAAUAACCCUA
This 852-nucleotide unclassified non-coding RNA is filed under the name Hevea brasiliensis (rubber tree). Lineage: Eukaryota; Viridiplantae; Streptophyta; Magnoliopsida; Malpighiales; Euphorbiaceae. The record is from RNAcentral.